This 331-nucleotide ribosomal RNA is filed under the name uncultured Bacteroidota bacterium. RNAcentral describes it as "bacterial SSU rRNA". It matches the Rfam family "Bacterial small subunit ribosomal RNA", at positions 28 to 351 of the family's 1533-position model. The record is from RNAcentral. Lineage: Bacteria; Pseudomonadati; Bacteroidota.
GAUGAACGCUAGCGGGAGGCUUAACACAUGCAAGUCGAGGGGCAGCACGUCCCGCCGCAAGGCGGGAUGGUGGCGACCGGCGCACGGGUGAGUAACACGUAUGCAACCUACCCUGUACAGGGGGAUAACCCGGAGAAAUUCGGACUAAUAUCCCAUAACGAUAUUGAGAGGCAUCUUUUAAUAUUUAAAGCUCAGGCGGUACGGGCUGGGCAUGCGGAACAUUAGCUAGUUGGCAGGGUAACGCCUACCAAGGCAGCGAUGUUUAGGGGACCUGAGAGGGUGAUCCCCCCACACUGGUACUGAGACACGGACCAGACUCCUACGGGUGCUG